CCGAGUCUGCAAGACUCCCUAAACCCUGUGAACAUACCUUUACGUUGCCUCGGCGGGAUCGGCCCCGCGCCCCCCGGCCCCGACCAGGGCGCCCGCCGGCAGGAUACCCAAACUCUUGUUACUAUAGUGAAUCUUCUGAGUGAUCUACUAGCAAUAAGUA
Molecule: unclassified non-coding RNA, 160 nt
Filed under: soil metagenome
Description: partial internal transcribed spacer 1
Source: RNAcentral